Molecule: ribosomal RNA, 254 nt
Filed under: uncultured bacterium
Lineage: Bacteria
Description: partial 16S ribosomal RNA
Rfam family: Bacterial small subunit ribosomal RNA
Source: RNAcentral
GACGUAGGGCGCGAGCGUUGUCCGGAUUUAUUGGGCGUAAAGAGCUCGUAGGCGGCUCGUUGCGUCGGCUGUGAAAACCCGCAGCUCAACUGUGGGCUUGCAGCUGAUACGGGCGGGCUGGGAUUCGGUAGGGGAGACUGGAAUUCCUGGUGUAGCGGUGAAAUGCGCAGAUAUCAGGAGGAACACCGGUGGCGAAGGCGGGUCUCUGGGCAGUUUCUGACACUGAUGCGCGACAGCGGUGGGGAGCAAACAGG